Thalassophryne amazonica is the source of this 160-nucleotide long non-coding RNA. RefSeq lists it as uncharacterized. The record is from RefSeq and is a predicted model, not a curated record. The transcript has 3 exons. Lineage: Eukaryota; Metazoa; Chordata; Actinopteri; Batrachoidiformes; Batrachoididae.
UCUACUGGUGUGGCAUGAGUGUUGAUAUUGACACAUGGGUAUGUAUCUUGAGGUUAUGUGUUUUGCACAAAAAUCACCUGGCCAUGACAAUAAUAGUUUUUUCUUCAAGGUCUCAGAAUGUGACAGUUGCCAGCGAUCAGGAAAGGCUUUGGCAGCUGCA